Cebus imitator (Panamanian white-faced capuchin) is the source of this 101-nucleotide long non-coding RNA. RefSeq lists it as uncharacterized. The record is from RefSeq and is a predicted model, not a curated record. The transcript is spliced from 3 exons. Lineage: Eukaryota; Metazoa; Chordata; Mammalia; Primates; Cebidae.
CUGCUAAAGUUAAAGGGAGAGCUACCUUCCAACGUGCCGAUCUGGCACCCGUGGGUGAUCAGGCCACGCUUCCACCCAAAACGGAGUGGGCUACUUUCCCG